This 218-nucleotide long non-coding RNA is filed under the name Cyclopterus lumpus (lumpfish). RNAcentral describes it as "lncRNA (ENSCLMG00005020916.1)". The record is from RNAcentral. Lineage: Eukaryota; Metazoa; Chordata; Actinopteri; Perciformes; Cyclopteridae.
CACAGGAGUCUGGGAGCUGUUCUUUUGGUCAAUAGACGACUGAGUGGGACUUGUUUGUGAAGCAGCCCGACGUGUGAAAGGACGGGACUGGCUUCUGCGACGGAGAACAACAAAAGGGAAUGUACAAUUUCUCAACUGGGAAUCCGCAUUAUCUACAUGCCGGCGUUUGAAGAGGGGGAAAGAUACGAUGAAUGAACUGGAUCACAACAUGAGUCAAG